UACGAAGGGGACUAGCGUUGUUCGGAAUUACUGGGCGUAAAGCGCACGUAGGCGGAUUGCUAAGUCAGGGGUGAAAUCCCGGGGCUCAACCUCGGAACUGCCUUUGAUACUGACAAUCUCGAGUCCGAUAGAGGUGGGUGGAAUUCCUAGUGUAGAGGUGAAAUUCGUAGAUAUUAGGAAGAACACCGGUGGCGAAGGCGGCCCACUGGAUCGGUACUGACGCUGAGGUGCGAAAGCGUGGGGAGCAAAC
This 250-nucleotide ribosomal RNA is filed under the name uncultured bacterium. RNAcentral describes it as "partial 16S ribosomal RNA". It matches the Rfam family "Bacterial small subunit ribosomal RNA", at positions 524 to 773 of the family's 1533-position model. The record is from RNAcentral. RNAcentral also lists the same sequence under 1 other name.